Molecule: transfer RNA, 72 nt
Filed under: Camelus bactrianus (Bactrian camel)
Lineage: Eukaryota; Metazoa; Chordata; Mammalia; Artiodactyla; Camelidae
Also listed under: 2 other names
Rfam family: tRNA
About the family: Transfer RNA (tRNA) molecules are approximately 80 nucleotides in length. Their secondary structure includes four short double-helical elements and three loops (D, anti-codon, and T loops).
Source: Rfam by way of RNAcentral
AAGGGUAUAGCUCAGAGGCAGAGCGCAUGCUUAGCAUGCAUGAGGUCCUGGGUUCAAUCUCCAGUACCUCCA